Molecule: ribosomal RNA, 253 nt
Filed under: uncultured bacterium
Lineage: Bacteria
Description: partial 16S ribosomal RNA
Rfam family: Bacterial small subunit ribosomal RNA
Source: RNAcentral
GACAGAGGGUGCAAACGUUGUUCGGAAUUACUGGGCGUAAAGCGCGUGUAGGCGGCUAGGUAAGUCAGGCGUGAAAUCCCACGGCUCAACCGUGGAAGUGCACCUGAUACUGCAUAGCUAGAGUCCUGGAGAGGAAGGUGGAAUGCUUGGUGUAGAGGUGAAAUUCGUAGAUAUCAAGCGGAACACCGGUGGCGAAGGCGGCCUUCUGGACAGUGACUGACGCUGAGACGCGAAAGCACGGGGAGCAAACAGG